This 428-nucleotide ribosomal RNA is filed under the name uncultured bacterium. Its description in RNAcentral is "bacterial SSU rRNA". It matches the Rfam family "Bacterial small subunit ribosomal RNA", at positions 355 to 775 of the family's 1533-position model. The record is from RNAcentral.
UGGGGAAUAUUGGACAAUGGGCGAAAGCCUGAUCCAGCCAUGCCGCGUGUGUGAAGAAGGUCUUCGGAUUGUAAAGCACUUUAAGUUGGGAGGAAGGGUUGUAGAUUAAUACUCUGCAAUUUUGACGUUACCGACAGAAUAAGCACCGGCUAACUCUGUGCCAGCAGCCGCGGUAAUACAGAGGGUGCAAGCGUUAAUCGGAAUUACUGGGCGUAAAGCGCGCGUAGGUGGUUCGUUAAGUUGGAUGUGAAAUCCCCGGGCUCAACCUGGGAACUGCAUCCAAAACUGGCGAGCUAGAGUAUGGUAGAGGGUGGUGGAAUUUCCUGUGUAGCGGUGAAAUGCGUAGAUAUAGGAAGGAACACCAGUGGCGAAGGCGACCACCUGGACUGAUACUGACACUGAGGUGCGAAAGCGUGGGGAGCAAACAG